This is a long non-coding RNA of Crotalus tigris (Tiger rattlesnake), 801 nucleotides long. RefSeq lists it as uncharacterized. The record is from RefSeq and is a predicted model, not a curated record. The transcript has 2 exons. NCBI's taxonomy places the organism in Eukaryota, Metazoa, Chordata, Lepidosauria, Squamata, Viperidae.
GUGACACCAAGUUGGGAAAUUCAUUCUGGGUGUCUCAUUCCUGGAGGCUAUGCAACUGAGAGUAUAAAAAGCUGGCUCCUUGAGGAAACAUCUCAGAACAUCUCCUCAUUUCUGACAUCUUCAAACCCUUUGGGAACCGCCUCUCUCCAACAUCCUAAGAUGGCUGCCAGCCGUUCAAUGUGGAACGAAUGCUACGCUCAAUGUCCAGCUUCAACUGUGACCAUCCAGCCACCACCUUUCGUCCUCACCAUCCCAGGACCUGCCCUCUACUGUCCUGACCAGCCUCUGGGCAUUGAACAGCACAACCCAUGUGCUGCAUAUCCUUUGCCCUUGACAAGGGGUGGCUCCAACUUCAACAGCUUCUAUUCCCAAGCUUUGCCGAGUGCCAACUUCAGCUCCUCCACCUAUCGGUCAUCUUAUUAACCCCCCUGAGCAUGACGAUGAAGUCCUUCUCCAUCAGUGGACUUUCUGGAAGCCAGCCAGUUGACCAUUUACAAUGAUACACCUGUUUCUUUCCACAUUCACAUCUAAGCCAGACCUAACUCCUUUCCUCUCUACGUUUGACAAGCCACCAGACUCUGGUUACCCUUCCACUGAAUUCCCAAAACAGAGAAAGAUCCUUCUGUACAGAUCGGAUAUGAUUCCAUAGCUGGUUGAAAGGGGACCUAUGGAAGGUUGACAAGAGGAAAACCCAGUUCUGGGGAUGGAAGUCCAUCCUUGCAGUCAAAUGUUCAUCCUGUAAAACAUGUUCUCAUGUGUCUUUGUUCAUAUUAAAAAAAUCUCUAAGGUUGCAUUCCAAAA